This 44-nucleotide transfer RNA is filed under the name Chironomus nepeanensis. RNAcentral describes it as "partial tRNA-Ser". Lineage: Eukaryota; Metazoa; Arthropoda; Insecta; Diptera; Chironomidae. The record is from RNAcentral.
UUUAUUAAAAAAUUAAUCACAAAUAAAAGUUAAUGAGCUGAAUA